GAUCAUGGCUCAGGACGAACGCGGCGGCGUGCCUAAUACAUGCAAGUCGAACGCUUCUUUCCUCCCGAGUGCUUGCACUCAAUUGGAAAGAGGAGUGGCGGAUGGGUGAGUAACACGUGGGUAACCUACCCAUCAGAGGGGGAUAACACUUGGAAACAGGUGCUAAUACCGCAUAACAGUUUAUGCCGCAUGGCAUAAGAGUGAAAGGCGCUUUCGGGUGUCGCUGAUGGAUGGACCCGCGGUGCAUUAGCUAGUUGGUGAGGUAACGGCUCACCAAGGCCACGAUGCAUAGCCGACCUGAGAGGGUGAUCGGCCACACUGGGACUGAGACACGGCCCAGACUCCUACGGGAGGCAGCAGUAGGGAAUCUUCGGCAAUGGACGAAAGUCUGACCGAGCAACGCCGCGUGAGUGAAGAAGGUUUUCGGAUCGUAAAACUCUGUUGUUAGAGAAGAACAAGGACGUUAGUAACUGAAC
This 476-nucleotide ribosomal RNA is filed under the name uncultured bacterium. RNAcentral describes it as "bacterial SSU rRNA". It matches the Rfam family "Bacterial small subunit ribosomal RNA", at positions 15 to 477 of the family's 1533-position model. The record is from RNAcentral.